GGAGCCAGUCCGGGAUCCCACCUGAAAGGUAGCCAUCGUGUCUCCUGGCCCAUGAUGGUUCCUCACGUUUCCUGUGACUUCGACCAUCUCAGCGAAUCCUGGCCAGAUGACGUCCCUUUCCAAUCUCCUUUUGGGAGAGGAGCAGCUGUGCAGAGCCUGAAUCGAGCAAGCUGCCUGCCUUGUCACUCCCGUCCUCUGAGGGGAGAGAGACGGUCCCUCGCUGGAGCUGAGGAGAGAGAGCAGCGAGCGGGUUCCUGACUCUGAGCCCCGUUUGUCCUCGUGCUGUGAAGCAUAAGCAUUUGUCAGGUUAGGUGAAGCCCCUGUGCCCGACCGCAAGCCACGGUGCUGUGAAGGAUUGUCUGAGUCUAGGUUCCUAAUGCAAAAUGCAAAAUGGGAAUUGAAAUGUACUUGAUGGAAUUAAAACAUUAGUAUUGGCUUUCAGUUCUUGCCUCCCUGGCUCCUGUAACAAAUGUAGGGCAUCUUAAAAAUAAAAGCCAACAAGCCAAGAGAAAACAGCCAGAUGCCUUUGCAAGACAGAGGAGGCACAAAACCUCUCUGCGAGACUUGAGAGUUGAUCUGCCCCAGUGUGAACUCUGGCAACUGUUUAUUCUCUAACUUGGACAUAUACUUUUCAUUUCUUUUAAGUAGAAUGCUUUUAUUUUUACUACGGGUAUGGGAAGACACUGUGACAUGUUGAUAAAUGAAAUAAUCCCGAUUACCACGUUAAGCCACAUGUCGGGAAUUUUAGAAGGAAAAUGCCGUUAAGAAACCCAGUGUAUAUAUGUUUACCCUCGUAUCAAUGUUUAAACAUGUGUAUACACCGGGUCUCUCCAAAGUGGGGUUCGGUGACUGAUCUCUUUCAAGAAAGUUCAUGGGGCAUUUAAUCAGAGUUGGCCUCCUAUUGUCUGUGGACUGGGCGUGGUCCCUGGCAUCUGGUCCUUUACCAGAUAGGUUUGGUAUUCAUCAAAAUGGCGGAACCAACAUGUGUGGUUCUCUACCCCUGGAGGAUGUUCAGGCUUAUCUUUAAUCCCAAAUCUUGGAACUCUAAGUAAACUGGGACAAGCAUGCCUUUUAAGCCCCGGUGAACCCAGAUCCAGUGCCUUAAUUCUAGUUCCACGAGGCUUGAGGACAUCUAUGUUUGGGUUACCACCCUGACGCUCACCAAGGGGCAGGACACUUGGACCAAGGAAGCAAAAUGCCCCAAAGGGCCCCGUCUGGGCUACAGACAUUUCCAUUCACUUAUGUUCAUGACCUUUCCGGCAAUCUCAAUGGAAAGCUAAGAAAGCCAUGGUAAACUUCUCUAAGGGGUUUCUUUCUCCCCGCCAUCUUGAAACCUGGCUCUUCAGACAUCUGUCUGGUGUGGAGUCACGGUUCCCCAGUCUCCAUUUCUGCUAAAUCUCAGUUGGUCCUUAGCCCCAGGAGAGUGAGAAGGUAAACGGGGGAGGUUCAGGAACCAGUGGGGAUGCUCAUCAGGCCCUAGUCGGUCCACCCAGCCCAGAGUUAGGGAAGGAAACCUCCAGCACUCGCUCAGCCCCCACCUCCCAUGAGUCCUGGGCUGGCUUGGGGAUGGCUUAUGCUGAUAUAACCCCAAGGUUUUGGACUCCCCUUCAUGUCACAAGUAGGCUGCUCCUCCAAGGAGCUGAAGAACUGAGCUUCUAGUUCUGCCCUUUUUAGUCCAUAAGAUUUCCUUGGCCUCACACACUCGUUCACUCCAGGUUCUGGAUCCCCAGGUUUCUGGGAUGGCGUCUCACACCCCAGCCCUCUCUCUCCUGAGUUUGUUUCCAGGGUGUUGCAGAGUGAGUCCCUUGACUUUGCCCUGCCUCUGUUCUGAAGAGCUCGGGGUAAUUUCUGGCUAUUUUCCCAGAGGUGUGGUAGUGCGGGCUCCCUGGUUUGGCCCCUGUGGCCGGCACACCCCGCUUUGGGUUGAGACUGAGCGGCUUGGCCCACGGAGCUCGGGACGUUGUCCUGGGGUCUGAAAACUUUCCUGAGACUUGGGCCUGUCUAGGCGAGGUGAAUCUACGACUCUCCAGACACGUUUUGAGUGAAUUGGUUUCAGCUUUCACAAAAUGCUAAUGUUGAUAUUGUUUACGUCUGGCUGCAUUGUUUUUCACUUUAAAAUUACAGCUUUAGUACAUUAAGCUAAUUUCAUAAUACUGUAUUAACUUAAUAUUCCAUAAAUCACACAUGUCAGAUUGCAUUGUUACGGAUGCACAAAACCCAAAUUUACUACUCAAGCUCUCCAAACACAUGUAUUCAUAAUUUGCUCCAGCGAGCCCUGUGCUGCCAUAUAGGGUUAAGGAAUUACACGUUCCAAUGCCAGGCACAGAUCAUGCCUCUCUCUCUCUCUCUCUCUCUCUCUCUCUCUCUCUCUGCAAUUGUUCUCCAUACAAAUUGAAACAAUAUAUUUCCAGCCAUUUUCAUAGUUGUAAUUACUAGCAAAAAUCGUAAUACCGCGAACAUAUUUUAAACACCUGCACUUUUGGUCCAACUCAUUUUUUUUUUUUUCUUUCUUUUAAGCUGAGUGUUUCCAUUUGAAUAAGGUUGAGAAAGCUCACUGGUGGUAGCAAUCUCUGGGUAUGUUUUCUCCUGGAGGAAGAUGAUGACUUUUGACUUGGAAGGGAGAGGUAGAGAGAAAAUGGCAGAAGGAGUUCGGGCGGCACCCUCUCUCUCCAUUCCCCUCUUUGCUCUCUCUCUUCCUCUUCCCCUUGGGGAAAGGGAUUUAAUUGCAGCGAGACUGGCUUUCACGCAUGCUGCCCGGCCCUCUUGCAAGGGUGCAAAGUUCUGUGCCUAAGCCUGGCUGGCUGGUUCCGGGAACAAAGGGAUGCUCUCUGUGGGGGACAUGGCGCUGGGCUGGGGCACAGAGGAGCCUCUGUAGGUUUUUAACCACACACUGUCUAAUCGGGCUCUGACAAGCCCAUUGUAAAUCAAAGGUCUGGUAAGUGGGGAUGCCAGAAAUGUUUGAUCUCCUUCCAAGCCUUGAAACAACUUGCUUAUUUUUUCUGCAGUUUGGCCCCUCACUAAAAUAAAACAUUGAGAGAUGAAUGUUCUGACGGGUCAUUGUGUGUCAAGCUGUCACUCUGUAAUGGUUACAUAUUUCAGCUGGAUUGAGGUGGUGCCGGUUGGGGGAGGUCUGUGAGAAAGAGAGAGGCAGAGAGAUAGGGUAGGGAAGGAGACAAAGGGUAACAAGGUUUCUGCUUUCUCCUUGUGGCUGAUCUUCAUUUAAACCAAACACUUGUCAUGUUCAGGGGAAGUUUUAUAAAUUUUUAAUGAUAUUGGGUACAACUGGUGCUUUGAAAUUUGCUGUACUUUAAUUUUUUCUUCGUUAGCAAAGGUUCACUAAUGCAUUGAAGUGCUAAGAGCGUAUCCUAGGGAUGCCACGAUAAUUGUGUUGUUAAUAAUAUUGUGGCACUAGUAAUGUUCUCCUGGUAAUCAAGGCAUGAGAUUUUUUUUUAAUAUAUUCAGUUAUUACACUGCAUCUCGUACAAAUCAUGUCAAUUACAAUUGCCAGCCUGUGACAGUUAAAAUAAUUGUAUACGUUUUCUAGAAUUUUCCAUUGGCUUGGCUAAUCAAGCUAAAAAAAAAAUCAACACAUUAUUUGCAUUAAUUUUGUUUCUAGUCUAUUCCCACUCCUAAAUCAUUUGUCCAUCUACUUCAAAAGGCAGAACAGUAAGUAUUUUAAUAAUAAAUAUACGCACACAUUCACACCAACCUAAUUUAAGAAUACUUCUAUAGGUCUGGCAAGACGGAAUCAUCCGGUAGGGAUGUUUUGUGUGACUGGGUUUAUGACUUUCAGUGGUGUGCGUGCAUGCUGAGAUUGAGUUCACAUUGCAUACACUUGGGAUAUGUGGAGUCUAUGUUUAUGUAGACAAACCUUGUAAGAACAUUCACUUUAGCAUUUUCUAUUUCUGUAUUCAGUCCGUAGUUCUGUCUAGGUCAGGGAAAUUACACGAUUUCGGUCUUUCCUUUUUGGCUUCACUGAAAUAGCUCAAUAUUCCUCUGCACCAGGAAAUGAUGUGUGUAAUGCUUCGCAGAAUAGCACUGCAAAUUUGCAGCUCGAACACUCGUCUUCCACUUCUAUGAGCUCUGCCUCCUGACCGGCACUGAGGCUUGCUUUAUUUGGAACUGAAAUAGCUAAACACUCAAAAAAGUACUGAACGUGUGAGACCGGCUGCACACGGAGUCCCCUGCAGUGUCUCAGCAAAUCUCCCCGGAGCCUGGCCUCUCUCUCCAUCACCCAGAGUAUACCACCCCCUGUCACGGGCAAGAACGGGGAGGCGUUUUGGUGACACGGAGGCAUUUUUGAAUGAGGGCCCCGGGGUGCACGGGAGGAGGAGACGGGAGGCUGGUGGGGGCGCCCUUUGCUGCCCGGCUGUCAGCAGCCCCACCGCACAUGGGGACGGGGCGAGGUGUGUGGCUGGGGACCGCUCUCAGGCAGACCCUGAAGAGUGGGUCAGGCUGGCCUGUUCCAUCUGCGGAAGGAGGAUCAGAAAGCAAGCAGGAGCAUAGUAAUAUCACGAGGGGCCCUCCAACGGGGAAGAAUGGCAGAUCUUGCAAAAUAAUAGUGGCAGAAGGACCCGAAGAACGACAGGCGGACAGAACAGGCUUAUGUGAGCGGUUUUCCGACAGCUUGGCGAUAUUAUUUGGGCAAUAAUAAAUAGGCUCCCCAAUUUCCGAGGCCCUCCACAGCCCCCUCGCUCUCCGUACCCUUCUAGGCUGGGUUUGUGAUGUCAAGAUUUUGCAUGAGGGUCAGUGGCUACAGGUUGUGAGGGUCAGGGCAACAAAAUAUUUUUUCCCUUUUUAAUGCAAUCACAUUCUCUUAAACAUGGCUUGAACAAAUCAUCUCUCAAAACGUAGAAUUUAUUUCUCAACUUUGCCUGGAGGUACAGCAGAGAGAACAGAUUUUUUUCCUCUCUCUGGCCCUUUGAGUCCUGACCAUGCAGAAUGGAUGGCUUUAGAACUGUACACGGACAGGAAAAUCAAUGCGUCAUACCAGGAGGCUUCAGGGGUUAGGUUCCCAUGUCCGUGUCAACAAGGCUAUUGGUUUUUUUAAUGCUCCAAAGUUAUCACUUCCCGCCUGCAAGAGCCACCACUGUGACUUGUGUGGUCAAACCUUAACAAAAGAAUUUCCCUUUGCCCACCGCUCGGUGGCAUGGAAUUUAAUUACUGCGCGGGGAGAAUUUUUCCAAGUAUGACAGUUGAAAACAAACAGGCAGGCCCCCAACGGCAGACGUACCCAGGGCACCUGGCUGGCAGGUUUCGGAGGGGGUCAUGAUCUCGUUUGAGGCCAGGACACCAUGUCUGCAGCAGGCCUUACCAAUAUGGCUCGAAGGCGGGGGACGCUGUGGGUCUCUCGAGACUCCUGGAGUGCAGCUUGCUGGGAAGGAGGACACCCCUUUCCACCUUUUGGGUGGAUCAUCCCAGUGUCUGUUGGGAUUUGGGGGUGUAAGGACGGGGGGUGUGGGCCUCUCUCCUGCUUUAAAGGCCGCUGUUCCAGGAAGGAUGCUUCCAUUUGUCAAUAGAAUUAUGUGCCAUCUGGUGGAGACCACGUUGCUUCAAAAUAAUACUUGUUGUCAUUAGAUUUUAAACUGAGUAUCCGAAAAUGAGGCCUUGGUUAAACCUCUGUCAAUUUAAUCAGUCCGACGACGGCGUUUGGUUUACUGAGCCGGGAGGAGUCCCCGGCCCCGAUAAGCAGACCCAGGAUUUUUCAGAUUCACCGCGUUUGCGGCCGCACCGGGUCCGGACGCCUCCUAGAUGCUGGGCCGGGCAGGCCCUGUGCCCUCCGAAAAUGGCCCUUUGAUCUGGUUUUCGUCCUGGCCGCCCCCUCCCCCACCGCUUUUCCCUAGGCUGUCCUGUCGGCAGUGACACAGUGCUAACGCCCCAGUGCUGGAGGCCACCGUGAGCAUUGCUCACUUGCAGCGGGCGGAUGAAAAGGCAGUGCAGAUGUAAUUUGUUUUCAAUGGCUGUUUCAAAAGAAUAAUUGUGGUGACAUUGCGGGAUCAAUAUUAUAGAUUUUUGUUUUCAAGUACACUGUAUGUGUGGUGCUAAGGGGAGGCAGGAAAUACAACCCUGCAGCCUGAAUACAAUAAAAAUGGAUUGAGGUCUGCGGGUAUUUGUCGGCUGCUAGCCAUCACGGGUUCGGAACAUCAUUGGUGGGAUUACCGAGUUUGUCCUUUGGGUUGGUAUUUCAUGGUGAAUGUGUGCACAUUUCCUGUACUUUCCGUCUCUUGCUUCUUUGGGGACCUGUUUCCUGAAUUCGUGCAAAGUAACUGGAGAUGCGUUUCCGGAACCCCAGGCUUGGUUUCGCUUGCUGCCGAGUGCAGGUGGCCGGGGCUGGCGUGUCCCCAUGUGCGGCUUCCCGGGUGAAGAUCUGCGGGGGAGGCUGGACAUUUCCACGAGAAAACGUCAGGUGCCAGCCCAGAGCAGAUGUGGGAUGAUUCUGGCAGCAAUGUGUGUCUCCUCCCGCUCUUUGUAUAGGCCCUUCUAGAGGACAGGCCUCCUGCCGGCGUCUGUGGGUCCCGGAUGGAAGCAGGGGGUCUCUGUGACCGUGGGAGCACGUCCCCCAGCUGCCCUUCGGAUUGCCGCUGGUUGCAGCUUCGUCCUUGGACAGCAUGCUCUUCGGAGAAGCACUUUGCUCAGGAAGCUUAUCUUAUCGCUUGAAAAUCCACGAACACCGGAGGAGGUGAUCGGGGCCGCCUGCGUUCAGGCGGGUUUCCUGACUUGGGGUAACUAGACAAAAAUGCAGAUCCCAGGGUGGAAAAUUAUAUGAACAAAGAAUUAGUAAUAAAGCCGAGUAAAUGCAAUGAGAUGUGAAAGCGAGCAUGGUGUGCCGUUUCCCCCCUGUCUUUUGUAAUUAGCCCUUCAAAGAAAUGGAAAUUCUGGCGAAAUACCUUUCUCCUUGCUGGCUUCAAACUGCAAAUGAACAUGACUUGUUCAGAGGUGAGAGAAAGAGCAGGGUUCAGAAGGACACCCGGGAUAGGACAGCUGGAACAUCUGGCCCAAUCGGCUCAUUUGACAGAUGGGGAAACUGAGACAUGGGUAUUCCUGGAGCUCUGGCUGGUCUUCCAGCAAGAUCAGAGAGGCUGCCUAUUCUGACUUCCAACCCAGAGCUUGCCAAAGCCCAUGAACUUGGCUCUUCUGUGGGCUUAUUUUAUCUGGAGAGCGCAAUGUCUUUUUUUGUCCUCUUUUUCUUUUUUUUUUCUUUCUUUUUUAACAUUGAGGAUAAAUAUAAAAUGGAGAGAGUCCCAUAUAAGCCCAGUUUUGCAUUCUUUUGACAAAUCCGAAUAUCUAGCCACACCGGACCCGUAUCCUGUGUGAGUCCUUGGUGCCUCCUUGGAUGGGGCCGUCUCACUCUUGUCACACUCAGCCCAGUGAGCAUUUGAGUUCCCUGGCCCUGUGGUGGGGCCGUCCUGCAGCGUCUGUGGGAGCCGAGACCGAUCUGAAAAACGUGUCAGUUUGGCAGAGUGAAGGCCAGGGUAGUUCUGCUAAGAAAGAAGAGGCUUCCCAAUAUGAACUGAUCAGCACACUUGGACCCCGUGUUAGCACUGUGUGUGCCUCCGUGAUAUUGACUGUCCGGAAGAAGUAGAAACCAAGGGUCAUCUCACAAUAGGCAGAUGCUUACCUUCACGCUUCCUGAGGAUUUCAUUCAAUCAACAUUUGUCCAGCCCCUUGCUUAGCGUUUAGAUAAGAUGGAGCUCCUUCCCUCAAGGAGCUCACAGUCUAACAGGAAAAAAAACCCAAAACCAGAAAUAUGUACUAACUGCUUAAGAUGCAAACAUAAAUUCAGGUACUAUUUAUAGAGCGCCUGCUAGGUACUAGGCCCCGGGAUUAUCUGUUAAGUCACCAGGCAGGGAAACUACCUGUGCAAGACGGCCUCCAGUGACAAAGGCUGCAUUGGUGUAUUAGGUUUGAAUCUCGUUUAAUGUGGAAUUGGUGUCUUAAUUUAACAGAUGUUUAUUGUCGGCUACGAGUUAGGUUUUGUGCUAGAUGCUGGUGCUAUAACGAUGGGCAAAAUAAACAACAGUCAGAUGAUGACACCAACAUAUAAUUCAAACUAAAAAGUGUCAUGAGGGAAGACCAAAGAAGAUUGAGGGCUUCUUGAGAUGUUUGGUUUGAAGUUUGAAGGACGCAUAGAACAGAAGACCCUUCGGUGCAACGGAAUCAGCACGUACAAAGACUCUGGGGCAAGAGAAAGCGUGUCAUAACUCGGGAACCCAAGGAAGAUCAGUGCAGCCAGAACACAGAGAGCAGAGAGGAGAUGUGUAUAAAAAGGAGCUACAGAAAUGAGUUGGUGGGUCGCAGACCAAACAGAAUUUUAUGGUCCAGGGUAAGACAUUUGGUCUUUGUCCUCAGCAGAACAGGAAGUAAGAAUAGUUUAGGCAAGUGUGUGUAUAUAUACACAUGGUAAUGCAAACAGGUCUGUAUUUUAAAAUGA
This is a long non-coding RNA of Acinonyx jubatus (cheetah), 8431 nucleotides long. RefSeq lists it as uncharacterized. The record is from RefSeq and is a predicted model, not a curated record. NCBI's taxonomy places the organism in Eukaryota, Metazoa, Chordata, Mammalia, Carnivora, Felidae. The transcript has 4 exons.